Molecule: ribosomal RNA, 89 nt
Filed under: Cutibacterium acnes
Lineage: Bacteria; Bacillati; Actinomycetota; Actinomycetes; Propionibacteriales; Propionibacteriaceae
Description: partial 23S ribosomal RNA
Source: RNAcentral
AGUGCGAUCGGUGGAUGCCUUGGCACCAAGAGCCGAUGAAGGACGUUGUGACCUGCGAUAAGCCCUGGGGAGUUGGUGAGCGAGCUGUG